ACAAAGGAAAAUGAACAAUGUGUACCACUUAAAGGUCUUGGACUUGGAGCACAGAAAUUGAUAUAGUCUCUUUGAAAAAAUAAGAUUUGAGCUCUGCUGUAUGCCAGACACAUAUUUUGGCAAUGCCAAGAGAUUCCCAUUGUGCUGCCCAGCUGUCCAGUGACUAUUUUCAGGGGAACAGUAUCUUCCUGUUACUGGCUGUCCUUGUGGAAAGAACAAACUUUUAUUAUUCCCUUGGACCAGGAACCUUUCAUAUUCAAUCUCACAGGCAAACUACAGCUUUUUCUGCUAUAACAGAGCCCUGUAAUUACUGUUAUUAAUCUUAAAAUCAUGGGCUUUAAUUCUAAAGACUUCUUGUAACCUGAAAGUCUUUCAAAACAUAAUGGUGCAAAAAAAAAUAAAAUAAAAUAAAUC
RNAcentral lists this long non-coding RNA (414 nucleotides) under Vulpes vulpes (red fox). RNAcentral's name for it is "lncRNA (ENSVVUG00000003138.1)". The record is from RNAcentral. Lineage: Eukaryota; Metazoa; Chordata; Mammalia; Carnivora; Canidae.